GCGGACGUGGCGGAACGGUAGACGCUGGGGACUUAAAAUCCUCUUCCCGAUAGGGAGUGUGGGUUCGACUCCCACCGUCCGCACCA
This 86-nucleotide transfer RNA is filed under the name Sphingomonas sinipercae. RNAcentral describes it as "Sphingomonas sp. HDW15C tRNA-Leu". It matches the Rfam family "tRNA". From Rfam's summary of the family: Transfer RNA (tRNA) molecules are approximately 80 nucleotides in length. Their secondary structure includes four short double-helical elements and three loops (D, anti-codon, and T loops). Further hydrogen bonds mediate the characteristic L-shaped molecular structure. tRNAs have two regions of fundamental functional importance: the anti-codon, which is responsible for specific mRNA codon recognition, and the 3' end, to which the tRNAs corresponding amino acid is attached (by aminoacyl-tRNA synthetases). tRNAs cope with the degeneracy of the genetic code in two manners: having more than one tRNA (with a specific anti-codon) for a particular amino acid; and 'wobble' base-pairing, i.e. permitting non-standard base-pairing at the 3rd anti-codon position. The record is from RNAcentral. Lineage: Bacteria; Pseudomonadati; Pseudomonadota; Alphaproteobacteria; Sphingomonadales; Sphingomonadaceae. RNAcentral also lists the same sequence under 1 other name.